UACAGAGGGUGCGAGCGUUAAUCGGAAUUACUGGGCGUAAAGCGCACGUAGGCGGCUUGGUAUGUCGGGUGUGAAAUCCCCGGGCUCAACCUGGGAACUGCAUCCGAAACUGCCUUGCUAGAGUAUGGGAGAGGGAAGUGGAAUUUCCGGUGUAGCGGUGAAAUGCGUAGAUAUCGAGAGGAACACCGGUGGCGAAGGCGGCCAACUGGACGAAUACUGACGCUGAGACUCGAAAGCGUGGGGAGCAAACAGG
This 253-nucleotide ribosomal RNA is filed under the name uncultured bacterium. RNAcentral's name for it is "partial 16S ribosomal RNA". It matches the Rfam family "Bacterial small subunit ribosomal RNA", at positions 524 to 776 of the family's 1533-position model. The record is from RNAcentral.